AUUGAACGCUGGCGGAAUGCUUUACACAUGCAAGUCGAGCGGCAGCACGGGGGCAACCCUGGUGGCGAGCGGCGAACGGGUGAGUAAUACAUCGGAACAUGCCCAGUCGUGGGGGAUAACAUUUCGAAAGAAGUGCUAAUACCGCAUACGUCCUGAGGGGGAAAGCGGGGGAUCGCAAGACCUCGCGCGAUUGGAGUGGCCGAUGUCAGAUUAGCUAGUUGGUGGGGUAAAGGCCUACCAAGGCAACGAUCUGUAGCUGGUCUGAGAGGAUGAUCAGCCACACUGGGACUGAGACACGGCCCAGACUCCUACGGGAGGCAGCAGUGGGGAAUUUUGGACAAUGGGGGCAACCCUGAUCCAGCCAUGCCGCGUGAGUGAAGAAGGCCUUCGGGUUGUAAAGCUCUUUCGGCAGGAACGAAACGGUGAACUCUAACAUAGCUUGCUAAUGACGGUACCUGAAGAAGAAGCACCGGCUAACUACGUG
This 484-nucleotide ribosomal RNA is filed under the name uncultured bacterium. RNAcentral describes it as "partial 16S ribosomal RNA". It matches the Rfam family "Bacterial small subunit ribosomal RNA", at positions 30 to 507 of the family's 1533-position model. The record is from RNAcentral.